Picea glauca (white spruce) is the source of this 47-nucleotide non-coding RNA. Lineage: Eukaryota; Viridiplantae; Streptophyta; Pinopsida; Pinales; Pinaceae. The record is from Rfam.
GUAACGGUGUCUUUAGACACCACCCUUUAUCCUUAAAUUAAUUUUUU